CAAAGCAAGUUUAUUUGAUUACUUAUUCCAGGCAAAUAAUGAGGUUCAUGUGUACAACUAAGAAAUCAGACAAUCCAAAUAAAAGGCAGCGUAAAUUAAUAUGAACUACACAAACAGCUAGCUAGAAAGGAACAGCAGCUGCAUUCAUUUUACAUAGUACUGUGGAGUGAUGUAGCACCAUUAAUCUCAAAUAUAUCCUAAGUACUUUCUAAGAUACGUGGGUCUUCGUUCAAAUGUAGCAAUAGCUUAAAAAUUAUAGCAAGCUUGAUGAUCAUCUUAUGUUCAACUAAUUUCAGAUAUUAAAGUAUAUCCGAAAAAUUAUUUCAGAAAAAAUAGGGGCCAGGAACAGUGGCUUACACCUGUAAUCCCAGUACUUUGGGAGGCCGAGGGCAGGUGCAUCACUUGAGCUGAGUUUGAGACCAGCCUGGCCAACGUGUUGAAACCCCGUUUCUACAAAAAUACAAAAAUUAGCCAGGCGUGGUGGUGGGUGCCCGUAGUCCCAGCUACUUGGGAGGCUGAGGUAGGAGAAUCGCUUGCACCUGGGAGGUGGAGGUUGCAAUGAGCCAAGAUUGCACCACUGCAUUCCAGCCUUCCAGCCUGGGUGACAGAGCGAGACUCCGUCUCCAAAAAAAAAAAAAAAAAAAGAAAAAAAAAAGAAAAAAGAAAAGAAAAAAUAGAAAAUUUGGGGGAUGAUGUGACCUUGUACAAUUGGGGGGGAAAAAAAAACACCAUUAUUGAGACUGGUUUUCUUCCAUCAUCUGCACUAUUUGCUACUUUGACCAAUUUAAAUUCUAAGCUUUGGAUGAUUUAAUAGGUAGUUAUUUGACAACACGUACAAUUUUAUUUAUACAAGUUUCCAUCCCCCCAAAAACAAACGCUCUUAUAUUUAUUGGUCUGUUUAGUUUGUUCUGGCCUGAACUACAAACACAGAGGAGCAAAAGAGGUUUCAUGCUACAGAACUCAACAUUUUGGGAUCUUUAAUGAUUUAUUCUAUUUUCUACCAUUUCUAAUGAUCAUUCUGAGCUAUUGUACUCUGAUAAUAUUGGGUUGAAAUUUGCUGAACUAAAGUUUGACCCUGUUAACGAAUCUAAGUUAUCAUGAGGUCAUCUGUAAAUUUAAGAUUAAGCAUUUUUCUAAAUACCGAGGACUUUACAGUUUCAUCUUAAGUUAUAAACUUAGAAAUUCAGAAUUCCAGAGUCCCUCACCAGCCCAUUUUACUAGUUAGGAGCCACAGCACAUUUUCAGAAAUAUAUCACAGCAAAAUCAAAAGGAGGAAAUUAUGUAAUAUUCCAGGAUUAUUCAAUCCUGGUGGUUCCUAACCCUAACUCCCAUACUUUUUUAGGGUAAUGAAUCACUUCGAGAAGCUGAUCUAAACUAUACACUUCCCCCCAGAAAAAUCCAUGUAAACUAGAACUUCUUAUACACAAUUACAAAGGAUUCCCUAAGGGUUCAUGAUUCUCAAGUUAGGAAUUCCUAUUUCAAAGGUGUGGAAUAUAGUGGAAAAUAAGUUUAGCCAUUUUGAUAUUGCCCAUCUUUACCUAAUUGCUACUAUAGUGAAGUAAGCAUUUUAAUAAUGCUACUAAAUUGCUGCUUUAAAACAAAGCACUCAUUUUAAACACUAAUACAGACUUUUAAAAUUCAUUCUCCUGGCUAAGCUUGGUAGCUUAUGCCUGUAAUCCCAGCAC
Molecule: long non-coding RNA, 1685 nt
Organism: Macaca fascicularis (crab-eating macaque)
Lineage: Eukaryota; Metazoa; Chordata; Mammalia; Primates; Cercopithecidae
Source: Ensembl